CUCUUUGGAAUUCAAUUGCCAUGAUGAUUUCUCUGUAUGAAGUCAUAAUGGAAUUUCCAUAGAAUCAUAUAUCUUAACCCAUGGCAUCACUCAACAAAUUCCAGUUGCCUGAACAAUGAUGGUCUACUGCGCAAGGAAUUACUAGUGAUUAUUUCCCCCUGAGAUUUGUCACAGUUUGUUUUGGAGUUCAUUACCAAUAAGAAUAAUAACUUAUUAGAGUCCUGUAUGUCAGAAUCUAUUAAUGCACACAUUUCAUGAAGAGAAGUAGUCACUACUGAUGUAAAAAUAGCAUGUGAUUUCUGCCAAGUUUUCCCAAGGUUGGUAAAGAACUAUCGGACUACUGAUGAAUGAUUUCCUGUUUAACCCAUAGAUACCCAUCUACUCUUAGUAGAUUUCCUAUUUAUUACCAAGGAUCAAAUGCAGAAGGAAAGGAAAGAAGGAUUCAAGUUUUCCCCAAGCCUAUUCUCCACUUCCCAUCUGCAACUUUGCUGGGUUUGAGCUCUAAAGAACUUGAGACCCCUCCCAGAAUAAGCUGA
RNAcentral lists this long non-coding RNA (536 nucleotides) under Monodelphis domestica (gray short-tailed opossum). RNAcentral's name for it is "lncRNA (ENSMODG00000030428.2)". Lineage: Eukaryota; Metazoa; Chordata; Mammalia; Didelphimorphia; Didelphidae. The record is from RNAcentral.